RNAcentral lists this transfer RNA (76 nucleotides) under Christensenellaceae bacterium. RNAcentral describes it as "tRNA-Thr". It matches the Rfam family "tRNA". Rfam says of the family: Transfer RNA (tRNA) molecules are approximately 80 nucleotides in length. Their secondary structure includes four short double-helical elements and three loops (D, anti-codon, and T loops). The record is from RNAcentral. Lineage: Bacteria; Bacillati; Bacillota; Clostridia; Christensenellales; Christensenellaceae.
GCUUCUGUGGCUCAGUUGGUAGAGCAGCUGAUUUGUAAUCAGCAGGUCCUCGGUUCGAGUCCGAGCAGAAGCUCCA